Molecule: ribosomal RNA, 254 nt
Filed under: uncultured bacterium
Lineage: Bacteria
Description: partial 16S ribosomal RNA
Rfam family: Bacterial small subunit ribosomal RNA
Source: RNAcentral
GACGUAGGGGGCGAGCGUUGUCCGGAGUUACUGGGCGUAAAGGGCGCGCAGGCGGUCGCGCGCGCCGCACCGUGAAAGCCCCCGGCUCAACCUGGGAACUGCAUUUGUGACUGCAUGGCUAGAGUACGGCAGAGGGGGAUGGAAUUCCGCGUGUAGCAGUGAAAUGCGUAGAUAUGCGGAGGAACACCGAUGGCGAAGGCAAUCCCCUGGGCCUGUACUGACGCUCAUGCACGAAAGCGUGGGGAGCAAACAGG